AACGAACGCUGGCGGCAUGCCUAACACAUGCAAGUCGAACGAGACCUUCAGGUCUAGUGGCGCUCGGGUGCGUAACGCGUGGGAAUCUGCCCUUGGGUUCGGAAUAACAGUGAGAAAUUACUGCUAAUACCGGAUGAUGACGAAAGUCCAAAGAUUUAUCGCCCAAGGAUGUGCCCGCGUAGGAUUAGCUAGUUGGUAAG
This 200-nucleotide ribosomal RNA is filed under the name uncultured bacterium. RNAcentral's name for it is "partial 16S ribosomal RNA". It matches the Rfam family "Bacterial small subunit ribosomal RNA", at positions 29 to 256 of the family's 1533-position model. The record is from RNAcentral.